GCUCCAAUGGCGCAAUGGUAGCGCGCAAGACUUCUAUGAACUACUCCUAGUCACGUUAUCUUGAGGUUGAGGGUUCGAGCCCCUCUUGGAGUG
Transfer RNA from Pseudogymnoascus pannorum, 93 nucleotides. It matches the Rfam family "tRNA". From Rfam's summary of the family: Transfer RNA (tRNA) molecules are approximately 80 nucleotides in length. Their secondary structure includes four short double-helical elements and three loops (D, anti-codon, and T loops). NCBI's taxonomy places the organism in Eukaryota, Fungi, Ascomycota, Leotiomycetes, Thelebolales, Thelebolaceae. The record is from Rfam.